This 492-nucleotide ribosomal RNA is filed under the name uncultured bacterium. Its description in RNAcentral is "partial 16S ribosomal RNA". It matches the Rfam family "Bacterial small subunit ribosomal RNA", at positions 29 to 507 of the family's 1533-position model. The record is from RNAcentral.
AGUGAACGCUGGCGGUAGGCCUAACACAUGCAAGUCGAACGGCAGCACAGUAAGAGCUUGCUCUUACGGGUGGCGAGUGGCGGACGGGUGAGGAAUACAUCGGAAUCUACUUUUUCGUGGGGGAUAACGUAGGGAAACUUACGCUAAUACCGCAUACGACCUACGGGUGAAAGCAGGGGAUCUUCGGACCUUGCGCGAUUGAAUGAGCCGAUGUCGGAUUAGCUAGUUGGCGGGGUAAAGGCCCACCAAGGCGACGAUCCGUAGCUGGUCUGAGAGGAUGAUCAGCCACACUGGAACUGAGACACGGUCCAGACUCCUACGGGAGGCAGCAGUGGGGAAUAUUGCACAAUGGGCGCAAGCCUGAUCCAGCCAUACCGCGUGGGUGAAGAAGGCCUUCGGGUUGUAAAGCCCUUUUGUUGGGAAAGAAAAGCAGCAGGUUAAUACCCCGCUGUUCUGACGGUACCCAAAGAAUAAGCACCGGCUAACCUCGUG